UUCAGGAUGAACGCUGGCGGCGUGCUUAACACAUGCAAGUCGAACGCACUUUCGGGUGAGUGGCGGACGGGUGAGUAACGCGUGAGAAUCUGCCCUCAGGAGGGGGAUAACGGCUGGAAACGGCCGCUAAUACCCCAUAUGCCGCGAGGUGAAACGAGUUUUCGCCUGAGGAUGAGCUCGCGUCUGAUUAGCUAGUUGGUGGGGUAAGAGCCUACCAAGGCAUCGAUCAGUAGCUGGUCUGAGAGGAUGAUCAGCCACACUGGGACUGAGACACGGCCCAGACUCCUACGGGAGGCAGCAGUGGGGAAUUUUCCGCAAUGGGCGAAAGCCUGACGGAGCAACGCCGCGUGAGGGAUGAAGGCCUCUGGGCUGUAAACCUCUUUUCUCAAGGAAGAAGAUCUGACGGUACUUGAGGAAUAAGCCACGGCUAAUUCCGUGCCAGCAGCCGCGGUAAUACGGGAGUGGCAAGCGUUAUCCGGAAUUAUUGGGCGUAAAGCGUCCGCAGGCGGUCUUGAAAGUCUGUUGUUAAAGCGUGGAGCUUAACUCCAUUUCAGCAAUGGAAACUAGAAGACUAGAGUGUGGUAGGGGCAGAGGGAAUUCCCGGUGUAGCGGUGAAAUGCGUAGAUAUCGGGAAGAACACCAGUGGCGAAGGCGCUCUGCUGGGCCAUAACUGACGCUCAUGGACGAAAGCCAGGGGAGCGAAAGGGAUUAGAUACCCCUGUAGUCCUGGCCGUAAACGAUGAACACUAGGUGUCGGGGGAAUCGACCCCCUCGGUGUCGUAGCCAACGCGUUAAGUGUUCCGCCUGGGGAGUACGCACGCAAGUGUGAAACUCAAAGGAAUUGACGGGGGCCCGCACAAGCGGUGGAGUAUGUGGUUUAAUUCGAUGCAACGCGAAGAACCUUACCAGGGUUUGACAUCCUGCGAAUCCCUUGGAAACGAGGGAGUGCCUUCGGGAGCGCAGAGACAGGUGGUGCAUGGCUGUCGUCAGCUCGUGUCGUGAGAUGUUGGGUUAAGUCCCGCAACGAGCGCAACCCACGUCUCUAGUUGCCAGCAUUCAGUUGGGCACUCUAGAGAGACCGCCGGUGAUAAACCGGAGGAAGGUGUGGAUGACGUCAAGUCAUCAUGCCCCUUACAUCCUGGGCUACACACGUACUACAAUGCUACGGACAAAGGGCAGCAAACUCGCGAGAGCUAGCAAAUCCCAUAAACCGUGGCUCAGUUCAGAUCGUAGGCUGCAACUCGCCUACGUGAAGGAGGAAUCGCUAGUAAUCGCAGGUCAGCAUACUGCGGUGAAUACGUUCCCGGGCCUUGUACACACCGCCCGUCACACCAUGGAAGUUGGCCACGCCCGAAGUCGUUACUCCAACCCUUGUGGAGGAGGACGCCGAAGGUGGGGCUGAUGACUGGGGUGAAGUCGUAACAAGGUA
Molecule: ribosomal RNA, 1429 nt
Filed under: metagenome
Description: bacterial SSU rRNA
Rfam family: Bacterial small subunit ribosomal RNA
Source: RNAcentral